AACGAACGCUGGCGGCAUGCCUAACACAUGCAAGUCGAACGAGACCUUCGGGUCUAGUGGCGCACGGGUGCGUAACGCGUGGGAACCUGCCUUUAGGUUCGGAAUAACUCAGAGAAAUUUGAGCUAAUACCGGAUGAUGCCUUCGGACCAAAGAUUUAUCGCCUUUAGAUGGGCCCGCGUUGGAUUAGCUAGUUGGUGGGGUAAAGGCCUACCAAGGCGACGAUCCAUAGCUGGUCUGAGAGGAUGAUCAGCCACACUGGGACUGAGACACGGCCCAGACUCCUACGGGAGGCAGCAGUGGGGAAUAUUGGACAAUGGGCGAAAGCCUGAUCCAGCAAUGCCGCGUGAGUGAUGAAGGCCUUAGGGUUGUAAAGCUCUUUUACCCGAGAUGAUAAUGACAGUAUCGGGAGAAUAAGCUCCGGCUAACUCCGUG
Molecule: ribosomal RNA, 433 nt
Filed under: uncultured bacterium
Lineage: Bacteria
Description: partial 16S ribosomal RNA
Rfam family: Bacterial small subunit ribosomal RNA
Source: RNAcentral